This 88-nucleotide transfer RNA is filed under the name Sinorhizobium kostiense. Its description in RNAcentral is "tRNA-OTHER". The record is from RNAcentral. Lineage: Bacteria; Pseudomonadati; Pseudomonadota; Alphaproteobacteria; Hyphomicrobiales; Rhizobiaceae.
CGGAAGCGUUGGUUUGCAGGGUUCUUGCCAGAAAACCCCGCCCUUCGGGACGUGGGGGUCGCGUGUUCGAAUCACGCCACUCCGACCA